UGCCAGCCGCCGCGGUAAUACGGAGGGUGCAAGCGUUGUUCGGAAUUACUGGGCGUAAAGGGCGCGCAGGCGGUUUGAUUAGUCAGAUGUGAAAGCCCACGGCUCAACCGUGGAAGUGCAUUUGAAACUGUCAGACUUGAGUAUCAGAGGGGAAAGUGGAAUUCCUGGUGUAGAGGUGAAAUUCGUAGAUAUCAGGAGGAAUACCGGUGGCGAAGGCGACUUUCUGGCUGAAUACUGACGCUGAGGCGCGAAAGCGUGGGGAGCAAACAGGAUUAGAUA
Molecule: ribosomal RNA, 279 nt
Filed under: uncultured bacterium
Lineage: Bacteria
Description: partial 16S ribosomal RNA
Rfam family: Bacterial small subunit ribosomal RNA
Source: RNAcentral